Molecule: long non-coding RNA, 1500 nt
Organism: Humulus lupulus (European hop)
Lineage: Eukaryota; Viridiplantae; Streptophyta; Magnoliopsida; Rosales; Cannabaceae
Exons: 3
Source: RefSeq, a predicted model, not a curated record
GAGAGAGGUUAUUCUUGAAAAACAACUGCUCAAUCGUAAACAUGUUGCUUGGAAGACAUCCAUAAAGCGCACUGUAACAAAAUCAAAUCCUCCAAGAAUUAGCCAUGAAAACCUCAUUAAAACUCCAGUUUCUCAAGGAUCAGUAGAAGAUGUUUCAUUUUCUGAAAGUGACAUCUCUCCUGCGCACUGUAACUUGUGGGAUGAUUUUAAUUGGCUUUUACAUUUGCAAGUGGAGAGCAUUUUAUGGUUCUAGUAGUGUCAUCAUGCCAAUGCAAAAUCAUUUGAGGCCUUGGAAGAUAUGAAGGUAUUUCCUUUACCUAACUGUAAUUUCAUUCUUAGUUCAUAGCUUUGGAAUUCUGUUUCACAUUAUUGCUGCUGCUGUCUAGUACUAGUCAAAGUAGUUUUUCUUUUCCUGUGACAACACUACUUCAUGCUUCUCUUGCAGAAAAAUUGUGAUGUUUUAGACCCGAACUACCAACCCAAGAGAUCUAGCUAUGGGUUACCUGAGGACAAAUUUAUAUUUGAUUGUUUUAACCAGCUAUACAAGAUGGAUCUUGAUAUUUUCAAUACAUGGUGCAACAUCCUUAAGCGAGUACCAAAUAGUGCACUUUGGCUUCUCAAAUUUUCUGCUGCUGGCGAGUCAAGACUUUGCAAUUGUACUGCCAUUUUACCAUUUCUCAAGAAAAAUCAUUUACAUGCAUAAUAUUUGAAUUCUUCUUCGUUAUUUAUAUUUCAUAAUGUAGUAAUGGGUAUUUAUCUUACAAAGGAAAGAUAAAUUAGUAACUGAUAAACUAUUGGUGUUCCAGAUGCUGUUCAAAGAGGUGUACAACCAGAUCAGAUUAUUUUCACAGAUGUUGCCAUGAAGGGUGAGCAUAUCAAGCGCAGUGCUUUAGCAGAUUUAUUAUUGGACACGUAAGCAUGCUUAAUACUUUUUUUUUCUAUUUUUUUAUUAUUCAAGUGUAUUUAUCUUAGUACAAUACAAUAUGUAACUUUAUUUUGAUAUUUGAUGUUGCUAUUGCUGAUUGAUUUUGCUAUUGUUGUUUUGUUUCUUUAUUUUUUUUUGGUGGUGUGUGCUCUGUAGCAUUGCAUUUAGUUAGCUUAAUAUUUAGCUCAUAUUUUCUUGAGUCGUUGCACCAGAAUUCCCUUAAUCAAGAGCCAUAUUCUGUCAGAAGUGAAUCAUGUCUUGUUAACAGAAUGAUUUUUCAACUGGUUACAGGACUUUCCCAGAGCUUGGACAACAAUUUUGAUUUCUCUAGACAAUAGUGGCAUGUGGAACCUUCGAACAAACAAUCUAAACUCGUGGUAUCUUGGCCAGGAAACGUACAUUAGUGUCGUAAACUCUGAGUUUGUUAGAAGAAUUGGAGAAGCAGUAGAAAGUAAGUUCAAUUCAAUUUCAUUUUCUGGUUUUAGAUAUAAGUUGCAAUCAACAUGAAUUAGAAAUUAGAAAUGCCACAAAGAAUAAGACAAUAAAAUUUUUACAUUAUGAAAAGAAUAAAUGGC